GUAGCAUGGCCCCUGCGCAAGGAUGAUAUGCAAAUUCAUGAAGCAUUCCAUACUUUU
Small nuclear RNA from Propithecus coquereli (Coquerel's sifaka), 57 nucleotides. Lineage: Eukaryota; Metazoa; Chordata; Mammalia; Primates; Indriidae. The record is from Ensembl.